GAUGAUGGAGAACAGAGUGUUAAAGCGCUCGGAGGACUGUAAAGAUCCUCCUCAGCUCUUUACAUACUAUCAAGGUGACAUCAACACUGCAGUGGAUGAGCACUUUUCCGUGCCCUGAAUAAAGCAACCACACCAAAAGACCUCAGUACUAAAGCCAAGGACAGCAAUAGGACUCCCAAAGCUGAUGUACCAUCAUCAUCAUCAUGGGCUUCUUCUGGUCUAACAUGGCCUAAGUCCACACACACUUCCGGUUCUUCAAAGCUGACCCAGUUGACGUCCAUGGAACCUACACCUCCAUCCCAGGGAGUUAUUGUGAAUCCCUCAGUACUAUCAUCAUCAUCAUCCUCAUCCCUCUGGCCAUGCCCAUCCAGACAGGGCACGGCCUUCGAACUGCCUCAUAUAAUCUACCAACAGCCCAUGGCUGCUGAGAGCAGUGCCAACUCUUACCUGAACCUGCUACAAAUGGAUCGGCCAACAGGGGGCAUCAUGAUCUCGCCCUACUCAAAAUCAGAUACCAGACCAGAGUGGAAUUCUGGGACAGCCUUUAAGGAUGGAAGCAGGAUCAGCCUAGAUUCAGGUGUGCCUGUCUCAGAAAUAACUAAGGAUUUGUACUGGUAUUGAAGAAGUGAUUUCUGGCUCUGUGAUGAAAAUAUAUUUUCAGCAAAGGACUGCCUGUGUUUACAUUAUUAUAAGCUUAAGAAUUCUUUGCUUUUAGAACAUCUGGCAUAGUGAUUCAAACCAUUAUAUUCAUGGUAUCAAACAUUCCUCAGAGAUGAAUGGCGAUUAAUUGCUUAUUUUAGCCAUGAGCAUGUGAAGGAUCUUGUAGUAGAAUACCUGAUUGAAAAUAAUUUACUUCUCGUAGCUAUUUAAUGGGUGAAUGAGGAAGUAAAGUCUAUUUAUAUGAUUUGUAAUACAAUUAUAGUUUUACCAAACUUUCUUUGUGUAUAUUAUUCUGUAUUUUGAAAGUUAAUAUUAUUACUAUAGCAAUUCAAAAACUAUAGUCAUUUGUCAGGAAAAUAUAUUCUAUAUAGUUAUUUUUAGUUAAACUUUCUCUCUUAAAAGUUGCCCAUACCUUGGGGAUGAAAAAAAAAAACUUCAAGCAGUGUCAACUCUCUAAGUCAGGUUACACAGAAGGCCAAGUAAAGCUAAUGCAAUGGCAAAAGUGAACUGACAUGAGCAAACCAAAAAUAAAUGUUUCUGAAAUCGUGCAAAUAUUAUUGGACUUCUUCUUUAAAAACUUGUUUGCAAAACUUGCUUUACACUUUCCCCCUCAAGCUGUGAUGUAUUUCCCUGUCACAAACCUUCACUUUUGAUGUACGAGUAUGACAGAACAGCUAAAGGCUUUGCACAAUUAUGAUGAAUUUCCUCAAUUAUUCUCAAGAAUAGUAUAGUCUAUUUUCAGUAUGAAUACACAGGUGACCUGUUUAAUAAAUCCUACAUGAAAAUGAUCCUUUUGUUCAUACUUUACACAUUUAGACAUUUGAUUUUCUUCAGGUCUGCAGUUAUAAACUUUCCCUUUUUCCCCGUAAGAGCGGGGCAUUUGUAAAAUGUAAAAAGACCAUUACAAAAAUAUAAAGAAAAAAAGUCUGCUCUCUGCAUCUACUGCUCAAAGCAUUGAUUUUUAUUUAAAG
This is a long non-coding RNA of Carassius auratus (goldfish), 1631 nucleotides long. The record is from Ensembl. NCBI's taxonomy places the organism in Eukaryota, Metazoa, Chordata, Actinopteri, Cypriniformes, Cyprinidae.